UUGCCACAUGGACGACUACACACCCAGUAGGGACAAGCUUGUUAGCAGAAAGGCUAUAGAAGCUCUCAUAAAGCAGCUCCAUACGACGUACAUUUACCGCUAUGCUAAAGCUUUCUGUUCGUGUCGUGAUACCUACUGGGUUGAGUCGUUCAACCAUCAACUCCUCACCUACCUGCCCAAGCGCAUUCACUUUUCAACUGAGACGUUCAUAAUACGAACGAAUUUGGCUGUCUUGGAUUGGAAUGAGAACGUCAAUCACUCUUACACCAGUAUGAUCAAAGUGAGUGACCUUCGACAACCAGAUCGCCGCACAGCAAUGAAAGCCUUGGUGAAGAAAGGUUUUUAAUUUGUUGCUUUGCUAUGGGCAAUGUAUGUUGAACA
This is a long non-coding RNA of Halichondria panicea, 381 nucleotides long. RefSeq lists it as uncharacterized. NCBI's taxonomy places the organism in Eukaryota, Metazoa, Porifera, Demospongiae, Suberitida, Halichondriidae. The record is from RefSeq and is a predicted model, not a curated record. The transcript is spliced from 3 exons.